GACGAACGCUGGCGGCGUGCUUAACACAUGCAAGUCGAACGGAAAGGCCCUGCUUUUGUGGGGGGCUCGAGUGGCGAACGGGUGAGUAACACGUGAGUAACCUGCCCUUGACUUUGGGAUAACUUCAGGAAACUGGGGCUAAUACCGGAUAGGAGCUCCUGCUGCAUGGUGGGGGUUGGAAAGUUUCGGCGGUUGGGGAUGGACUCGCGGCUUAUCAGCUUGUUGGUGGGGUAGUGGCUUACCAAGGCUUUGACGGGUAGCCGGCCUGAGAGGGUGACAGGCCACAUUGGGACUGAGAUACGGCCCAGACUCCUACGGGAGGCAGCAGUGGGGAAUAUUGCACAAUGGGCGGAAGCCUGAUGCAGCAACGCCGCGUGCGGGAUGACGGCCUUCGGGUUGUAAACCGCUUUCGCCUGUGACGAAGCGUGAGUGACGGUAAUGGGUAAAGAAGCACCGGCUAACUACGUG
RNAcentral lists this ribosomal RNA (468 nucleotides) under uncultured bacterium. RNAcentral describes it as "partial 16S ribosomal RNA". It matches the Rfam family "Bacterial small subunit ribosomal RNA", at positions 28 to 507 of the family's 1533-position model. The record is from RNAcentral.